GACGAACGCUGGCGGCGUGCUUAACACAUGCAAGUCGAACGGAAAGGCCCUGCUUUUGUGGGGUGCUCGAGUGGCGAACGGGUGAGUAACACGUGAGUAACCUGCCCUUGACUUUGGGAUAACUUCAGGAAACUGGGGCUAAUACCGGAUAGGAGCUCCUGCUGCAUGGUGGGGGUUGGAAAGUUUCGGCGGUUGGGGAUGGACUCGCGGCUUAUCAGCUUGUUGGUGGGGUAGUGGCUUACCAAGGCUUUGACGGGUAGCCGGCCUGAGAGGGUGACCGGCCACAUUGGGACUGAGAUACGGCCCAGACUCCUACGGGAGGCAGCAGUGGGGAAUAUUGCACAAUGGGGGGAAGCCUGAUGCAGCAACGCCGCGUGCGGGAUGACGGCCUUCGGGUUGUAAACCGCUUUCGCCUGUGACGAAGCGUGAGUGACGGUAAUGGGUAAAGAAGCACCGGCUAACUACGUG
RNAcentral lists this ribosomal RNA (468 nucleotides) under uncultured bacterium. Its description in RNAcentral is "partial 16S ribosomal RNA". It matches the Rfam family "Bacterial small subunit ribosomal RNA", at positions 28 to 507 of the family's 1533-position model. The record is from RNAcentral.